UUUUUGGGCCCGGGAAGGUUGGGAUUUUGCCCCCGGCCUAUGGUGGGCCGGAGGUUUUUUUUUUUUUUUUUUUCGUGGGGCCUGCCUAAACAGGUCAAUUAAGUUCAAUCCCUCGAGGGGGGGGGACCGCACCCUUUGGGGGACCUGACAGUUACCGAACCCCCCCCUGUUAGAAAGUUUUCACAAAGAGGCCCGGUUUAGUGGGGAGAAGCCCCCAGGAUUACCUCCGGUGGGGUGCCGCCCAUGGAUGACCCGCCCAUUCCGGGGGCGCAGGGGAUUUCCCAAGGGGAAGUUGAGGACACCCGGUGUUGAGAGGUUCGGUUGAAACCUGUUUAGGAAGAUGCUUUAGAGAAUGUUAACGGGAGGUACUUCCAGAAGGACGCUAAUACGGCCGCAGCGCGUAUAGUAUUUCAACGUAUCCGAUUAUGGGGUAAGGAGCCAGCGGUUAUUAGUCGAAGGAAGCCACAGUUAACUGGGAAGGCUUGGAACUGGAAACUGAGGCAGAGAGGAAGUGGACUCCAUGGUAGCGGUGGAAUGCGUAGAUUAUGGAAGACACCAGGGGGAAGGGGCUUUUGGACUGCAACUGACGUUAGGCUCGAAAGUGUGGUAGCAAACAGGAUUAGAUACCCUGGUAGUCCACACCGUAAACGAUGAAUGCUAGAUGUUAGAGGGUUUCCGCCCUUAAGUGUCGCAGCUAACGCAUUAAGCAUUCCGCCUGGGGAGUACGACCGCAAGGUUGAAACUCAAAGGAAUGACGGGGACCCGCACAAGCGGGGAGCAUGUGGUUAAUUCGAAGCAACGCGAAGAACCUUACCAGGUCUUGACAUCCUUUGACCAUUUUAGAGAUGGAGCUUUCCUUUUGGGGACAAAGUUACCGGUGGGGCAAGGUCGUUGUUAGGUUGGGUUGUGGGAAGGUGGGUUAAGUUCCGCAACGGGGGCCACCCUUAAUGUUAGUUGCCAGCCAUUAAUUGGGCCAUUUAGGGAGGCUGCCGGGGGCAAACCGGGGGAAGGGGGGGGAGGCGUCAAAUUCUCCUGCCCCUUUAGGCCUGGGGUACCCACCUGGUUCAAAGGCAAGUACAAAGGGCAGGCAACCCGGGGGGGUUAGGGGAUUUUUUAAAACUUGUUUCCGUUUGGGAUGUGUGGUUGCAAAUUGCCUACCAGAAGUUGGAAUUGGUUGGAAUUGGGGGACAGCCAGCCGCGGGGAAAACGUUCCCGGGUUUUGUACCCCCCCCCCGUCCCCCCCUGGGGAUUUGAACACCCAAAGCCGGGGGGCUAACCUUUUGGGGGGCAACCGUCUAAGGCGGGGACAGAUGAUUGGGGAAGUGUACAAGAGCGUAGGCC
Molecule: ribosomal RNA, 1341 nt
Filed under: Weissella viridescens
Lineage: Bacteria; Bacillati; Bacillota; Bacilli; Lactobacillales; Lactobacillaceae
Description: partial 16S ribosomal RNA
Rfam family: Bacterial small subunit ribosomal RNA (bases 407-1341)
Source: RNAcentral